CACCGCGGGUCGCGGCAGGCAGAGGGGAAGUCGGUGCGCUGGUCGCCGCCCUGCAAACUCAGCCGAGUUUGGGAGCUCGCAGGAGGACUUGGGGAACGCUGGAGGGAACCUUAGUAUAGAGUUUGAGGAGCGGGCAAGGAAGGUCCCCAUGGACUCUGGGGUUGUCCCCAGAGCCUCUUCUUCCCUUCUGCAUCGCCGCCUAUUCAUUUAUUCUGCAGCAAAUAUUUAUUGAGCGCCUAUUUUAGGCGCUGAGGCUACUGUGAUGUUGGAUGACAAUAACCAUCUUAUUCAGUGUAUAAUGGACUCUCAGAAUAAAGGAAAGACCUCAGAGUGUUCUCAAUCUGGCCAGUGGGAGCCCCUCAAGCUGGCUUCUUGAUAUGUCUUCAUUAUUUUUUGAACAUUUACUUAUUUUCUUAUACCACAAAAUGUUCUAGGCUCAUCCUGGUUUUUUUUUCCUGUGCAGGGUGAGUCCAAACUAUUCCAGAGUUGCAUAAAUUUCAAACAACAAAAAAAAUUAGUGUCGAUCAUUCAUCGUAAUUUAAAAGAGUUGUUUAAAUCUGUAGUUUGGAAGAUAACUUUUAUUCUAUAAAGUGCAUUCCCGUUGUCUAAUAAAUAUUCAUAGCUUCUAGGGUCAUGAAUAAACCACAUCUGUUAGUAUGGUUUGGUCAGUGGUCCUCAGAAAAUCUCAUGUCGUGCAACCAUACUAAUACUCAAGCAAAGGAAAACUUGAAGGCCUAGACUGAAACAGGUAUCAGCAGAUGUUGCACACAAACUUGGUAUACCUUGCUACAAUAGCAGAUUCUAAUCAAAAUAUGCAGUCUCUUUUACCAGCACCACCCACACAGAAUAUGCCUAUGGGUCCUGGAGGGAUGAAUCA
Molecule: long non-coding RNA, 877 nt
Filed under: Homo sapiens (human)
Lineage: Eukaryota; Metazoa; Chordata; Mammalia; Primates; Hominidae
Description: HSALNT0249120
Source: RNAcentral